RNAcentral lists this unclassified non-coding RNA (224 nucleotides) under Hevea brasiliensis (rubber tree). The record is from RNAcentral. Lineage: Eukaryota; Viridiplantae; Streptophyta; Magnoliopsida; Malpighiales; Euphorbiaceae.
AGCGCAAUUUGCGGAGAGAAAAUGCGGGUCCCUUGAAAAAUGCUGCGCCAGUCAAGACCCUGAUGAGACUGAUUGAAGAAACGGACGGCGUAGAUUGGAGAAAAAACAAGAGGGAAACUGACAAUGGAGGAGGAGGGAACGGGAAUGAUUUGAUGUGCUGCGUUUGCAUGGAAAGAAAUAAAGGAGCAGCUUUCAUUCCAUGUGGACAUACGUUUUGCAGGGUU